This 497-nucleotide ribosomal RNA is filed under the name uncultured bacterium. RNAcentral's name for it is "partial 16S ribosomal RNA". It matches the Rfam family "Bacterial small subunit ribosomal RNA", at positions 28 to 507 of the family's 1533-position model. The record is from RNAcentral.
GAUGAACGCUGGCGGCGUGCCUAAUACAUGCCAGUCGAGCGAACAGACGAGGAGCUUGCUCCUCUGACGUUAGCGGCGGACGGGUGAGUAACACGUGGAUAACCUACCUAUAAGACUGGGAUAACUUCGGGAAACCGGAGCUAAUACCGGAUAAUAUAUUGAACCGCAUGGUUCAAUAGUGAAAGACGGUUUUGCUGUCACUUAUAGAUGGAUCCGCGCCGCAUUAGCUAGUUGGUAAGGUAACGGCUUACCAAGGCGACGAUGCGUAGCCGACCUGAGAGGGUGAUCGGCCACACUGGAACUGAGACACGGUCCAGACUCCUACGGGAGGCAGCAGUAGGGAAUCUUCCGCAAUGGGCGAAAGCCUGACGGAGCAACGCCGCGUGAGUGAUGAAGGUCUUCGGAUCGUAAAACUCUGUUAUUAGGGAAGAACAAAUGUGUAAGUAACCAUGCACGUCUUGACGGUACCUAAUCAGAAAGCCACGGCUAACUACGUG